UCCAGUUUCACCUUCUUUUUCUUCUAAUUACUUGUAUUUGACUCUUCCUCUCUAAUCCCACAGGCAUGGCCUUCAUCCAGACUCCUAUUCCACCAAAGCCAUCGUUUCUGCUGGGACCCAGUCCCUAAAAUGUCCUACUCUGAUGCAAAAAGGAAAAAGACUAGCAAAACUUAAACUUGAGAGCAGUGCCUGGGACUUAUAUACAGUCAGUAAAUCUUGGAAGAUACAAAAUUUUUAAAAGUCCGAGUCUAACCCGCUUCAUGCAUGCUGGAUUUGCCCUUCAUGAAACCAGCUGGAUUACAUCAUCUCCUAACCUCUCUGCAAUUAGCAGCAUCCAUGUUCUUGAGUUCCUACCGAUGAAUGUGUGCAGAAUAGAUGUAUGUGUUUGCUACCUCCAGGCCUGGCCUAUAAAAACUUCCCACACAAGUCAUCUAUAUUUCCUCCUUCCUUUUUUUCUGGCCGGAUGCUAAGCAUGCAGUGGAGAAAUCCAAGGUUCCAAGGAAUAGUGAAGUUGCAAGAAUCUAGAUGGAAGGUGCCUGAACCCCUGAAUGACUUCAUGGAGCAGAGCAACCCUCUUCUCCCUGGUACUUUGCUCUAGCACCUACAAUAGAC
RNAcentral lists this long non-coding RNA (612 nucleotides) under Equus asinus (donkey). RNAcentral describes it as "lncRNA (ENSEASG00005027708.1)". The record is from RNAcentral. Lineage: Eukaryota; Metazoa; Chordata; Mammalia; Perissodactyla; Equidae.